UAUUGCACAAUGGGCGCAAGCCUGAUGCAGCCAUGCCGCGUGUGUGAAGAAGGCCUUCGGGUUGUAAAGCACUUUCAGUCAGGAGGAAAGGUUAGUAGUUAAUACCUGCUAGCUGUGACGUUACUGACAGAAGAAGCACCGGCUAACUCCGUGCCAGCAGCCGCGGUAAUACGGAGGGUGCGAGCGUUAAUCGGAAUUACUGGGCGUAAAGCGUACGCAGGCGGUUUGUUAAGCGAGAUGUGAGAGCCCCGGGCUCAACCUGGGAACUGCAUUUCGAACUGGCAAACUAGAGUGUGAUAGAGGGUGGUAGAAUUUCAGGUGUAGCGGUGAAAUGCGUAGAGAUCUGAAGGAAUACCGAUGGCGAAGGCAGCCACCUGGGUCAACACUGACGCUCAUUACGAAA
This 403-nucleotide ribosomal RNA is filed under the name uncultured bacterium. RNAcentral describes it as "bacterial SSU rRNA". It matches the Rfam family "Bacterial small subunit ribosomal RNA", at positions 362 to 758 of the family's 1533-position model. The record is from RNAcentral.